This 232-nucleotide ribosomal RNA is filed under the name uncultured bacterium. RNAcentral describes it as "partial 16S ribosomal RNA". It matches the Rfam family "Bacterial small subunit ribosomal RNA", at positions 332 to 561 of the family's 1533-position model. The record is from RNAcentral.
UUUACCCUACGGGAGGCAGCAGUGAGGAAUAUUGGUCAAUGGGCGAGAGCCUGAACCAGCCAAGUCGCGUGAAGGGUGACGGCCCUACGGGUUGUAAACUUCUUUUGUCAGGGAGCAAUUGGGUCCACGUGUGGGCUUAGCGCGAGUCCCUGAAGAAAAAGCAUCGGCUAACUCCGUGCCAGCAGCCGCGGUAAUACGGAGGAUGCGUGCGUUCUCCGGAUUUAUUGGGUUU